GACGAACGCUGGCGGCGUGCUUAACACAUGCGAGUCGAACGGAAAGGCCCUGCUUGCAGGGUGCUCGAGUGGCGAACGGGUGAGUAACACGUGGGUGAUCUGCCCCUUACUUUGGGAUAAGCCUGGGAAACUGGGUCUAAUACUGGAUAGGACCAUGCUGUAGGUGGUGUGGUGGAAAGAUUAGUUUCGGUAAGGGAUGAGCUCGCGGCCUAUCAGCUUGUUGGUGGGGUAAUGGCCUACCAAGGCGUCGACGGGUAGCCGGCCUGAGAGGGUGGACGGCCACAUUGGGACUGAGAUACGGCCCAGACUCCUACGGGAGGCAGCAGUGGGGAAUAUUGCACAAUGGGCGCAAGCCUGAUGCAGCGACGCCGCGUGGGGGAUGACGGCCUUCGGGUUGUAAACUCCUUUCAGCCAUGACGAAGCCCUUGUGGUGACGGUAGUGGUAGAAGAAGCACCGGCUAACUACGUG
This 469-nucleotide ribosomal RNA is filed under the name uncultured bacterium. RNAcentral's name for it is "partial 16S ribosomal RNA". It matches the Rfam family "Bacterial small subunit ribosomal RNA", at positions 28 to 507 of the family's 1533-position model. The record is from RNAcentral.